CCCCAGCCUUGACGGCCAUGCCCUGGCACUGUUACCCAUGGGUCCUCCUCCAGGCCCUGUGACGGACACACCCUGGCAUUGUCACCCGUGGGUCCUCCCCCCAUCCCCGUGAAGGCCACAGCCCGGCACUGUGUUUACCUGUGGGUCCCAGACCUGCACCUGCAGGAGAGAUUUUCUUCCUCUCUCUCACACUGAGGCCUCUGAUGGAGGAGGUCGAUGUCUGUGCCUUCAUUCUCCUGAGCCCCUGCCAUCUGACACCGUCGUCAUCUCUGCCUGGGGGAUGUCCGGCAAGGACCACAGCUGACAUGCACGAGUCUGAUGGCCGGGUCUCGUGUCACUGGGUGAAUGCUGCAGAAUCAAGGCAGGGGCGUUGCUUGCUGUCCUGGAAGCUGAUUCGUCAGAGACUUUGUCUUUUCUUGAUUCUUCACUCCCAGUUCCCACGGCUCAACAUGUGUUUGCCUCCAUUCUUCUUUUGGAAGACCAGACUUCCCAGGGGUCUUGAUUCCUCAUUCUACGUGCUCAUAGUCAAGGACCUGCAGGUGCAUGAUGACACACACUUGUACCCUGAGCCUCUACAUCCAGGGCAACUCGCUCUGAGAGCACAGUACCUCCUUAGCCCACGUGCCUUCCACAGCCGGUGUGGCCUGCUGGGAUUCUUCAGGCAGGAGCACAGGUGCCUUCUGGAGAAGGCGCAAAAUGAGCAGGUGCUGACAUGAUCUCACAGGUUUACAAAGUUCUGGUUAAAUAAAUAGAUCUUCG
RNAcentral lists this long non-coding RNA (759 nucleotides) under Rhinopithecus bieti (black snub-nosed monkey). RNAcentral describes it as "lncRNA (ENSRBIG00000046205.1)". Lineage: Eukaryota; Metazoa; Chordata; Mammalia; Primates; Cercopithecidae. The record is from RNAcentral.